CAAAGUUUUGAUCAGCAAUUCAGAGGGAAAUCCUAUAUUAAGUGCUAUUGGCCACAUUUCAUGAAAAGUUCAACACAGUAGGGAGUGGCCGCAGGGCCCAGCUGGAAGAACCUCACUUUGUUGACACCUGGCCUGAUAGUCAUUUCCUUAGUGACCAGCCCUUCUGAGAACAGAUCUCUGAGCUGGUGUGUUAAGUUGGGGUUCUGUGGUAACACUGACAACUGGAUCCUCUGGAAGGAAUGUCCAAGAAGUGGUGAGAAAAUUUCCAACAGGUGUUGAGGCAGCUCUAGGUGGGGAGUUAAGUUGGAGAGAAGGCUUUCGAGGGGCUUAGAAUCUUCCUUCUCCCAAGUCAGGAGAACGAAAUGACUGCUUCCUGAGGUUGAAAUCCCAACCUCCAAUGAGAUGGUAUUAGGAAGUAGUAUCUUUGGGGAAUUGAGCAGAUCAUGACAUUGGAGCUGUCAUUACAGGAUUAGUAACUUAUAAGAAAAAGUCAUCUCUCUUGACCAUGUGAAGAGUCAACCAGAAGACAGCCAUCUGCACACUUGGAAGCUGGCAUUCACCAGAUACCAGACUAUGCAGCCCUUUGAUAUUGGACUUGCCAACCUCUAGAACUAUAAGAAAUAAGUGCUCAUUGCUUCGGACACCCAGGCUGUUGUAGCAGUCUGAACUGAAAAUAACACUAGGAAUUGGCUUCAGGAGUUGAAUGCUGUCUACAGCAUGCAGCUGGAACUGCAUCUCCAAGUGAAGUUUAGCACAGAAGUCCAAGUUCCAUGAGCUCUAGACAGUUCGCAUGGCUGUUCUCACCAGCAGGAUCUGAUUUUCCCGAAGCAGUGACUUCCUAGGAGCCUUCAGAGAAAAGGGAGCAGAAAACCAAAACUCAUACCUAUAUGGUGUUGGAUAUAAAACUAAUAGGAUAAAAAUGAAAACAGGAAGCCUGAAAGUAAAGUUGCCAAACCCCAAAUCAUGAUCUAAAGUUGUAUUCUUCAUAUGUUGACAUGCUUAUUGACUGCCUCCUCCAUUAAAAUGGAUUUUCUUUCAUGAGGACAAAAGACUGUUGUGUUCACCAGUGAAGCUCCUCUUCACAGAAUACUACCCACUUAAUGGAACUACUUUGGCAUGAAGAAAGACAUUAAUUAUUGCAUGGUAAAUGAGGUUACUUGGAAGAAAACAGACUUGCUAUCUACCUUGCUCCUGCUCUACUGAUCUG
Molecule: long non-coding RNA, 1207 nt
Organism: Heterocephalus glaber (naked mole-rat)
Lineage: Eukaryota; Metazoa; Chordata; Mammalia; Rodentia; Bathyergidae
Source: Ensembl